This 497-nucleotide ribosomal RNA is filed under the name uncultured bacterium. RNAcentral describes it as "partial 16S ribosomal RNA". It matches the Rfam family "Bacterial small subunit ribosomal RNA", at positions 28 to 507 of the family's 1533-position model. The record is from RNAcentral.
GAUGAACGCUGGCGGCGUGCCUAAUACAUGCGAGUCGAGCGAACGGACGAGAAGCUUGCUUCUCUGAUGUUAGCGGCGGACGGGUGAGUAACACGCGGAUAACCUACCUAUAAGACUGGGAUAACUUCGGGAAACCGGAGCUAAUACCGGAUGAUAUUUUGAACCGCAUGGUUCAAAAGAGAAAGACGGUCUUGCUGUCACUUAUAGAUGGAUCCGCGCUGCAUUAGCUAGUUGGUAAGGUAACGGCUUACCAAGGCAACGAUGCAUAGCCGACCUGAGAGGGUGAUCGGCCACACUGGAACUGAGACACGGUCCAGACUCCUACGGGAGGCAGCAGUAGGGAAUCUUCCGCAAUGGGCGAAAGCCUGACGGAGCAACGCCGCGUGAGUGAUGAAGGUCUUCGGAUCGUAAAACUCUGUUAUUAGGGAAGAACAUAUGUGUAAGUAACUGUGCACAUCUUGACGGUACCUAAUCAGAAAGCCACGGCUAACUACGUG